This 371-nucleotide ribosomal RNA is filed under the name uncultured bacterium. RNAcentral's name for it is "bacterial SSU rRNA". It matches the Rfam family "Bacterial small subunit ribosomal RNA", at positions 28 to 402 of the family's 1533-position model. The record is from RNAcentral.
GACGAACGCUGGCGGCGUGCUUAACACAUGCAAGUCGAGCGGUAAGGCCUUUCGGGGGUACACGAGCGGCGAACGGGUGAGUAACACGUGGGUGACCUGCCUUUAGCUUCGGGAUAAGCCUGGGAAACUGGGUCUAAUACCGGAUAUGACCUCAUGUCGCAUGGUGUGGGGUGGAAAAGUUUUUCGGCUAGAGAUGGGCCCGCGGCCUAUCAGCUUGUUGGUGGGGUGAUGGCCUACCAAGGCGACGACGGGUAGCCGGCCUGAGAGGGCGACCGGCCACACUGGGACUGAGAUACGGCCCAGACUCCUACGGGAGGCAGCAGUGGGGAAUAUUGCGCAAUGGGCGGAAGCCUGACGCAGCGACGCCGCGU